RNAcentral lists this long non-coding RNA (1113 nucleotides) under Canis lupus familiaris (dog). RNAcentral describes it as "lncRNA (ENSCAFG00030011308.1, ENSCAFG00040004144.1)". The record is from RNAcentral. Lineage: Eukaryota; Metazoa; Chordata; Mammalia; Carnivora; Canidae.
AUGCUGACUCCCUCUGAUUCCCAGGCUGCAGAACUGUUCCUGACACUGGUGUCUGAGCUCCAGGGCCUCUCCCCAGAUGAGCUGUUGGCCCUGUGGCGACAAUCUUCCUUUAAAUGCCGGGACAACUGGCAGCCGCUGGUGGACGCCCUGCCCUCCUGUGGCACCGAGCCCUGUGUGGGCCUCAUGAAGGACCUCAUCGUGUCCGGGGAGGUGGAGGUGGACCAGACGGAAGCCUGGCUCUGGUCGCUGGCCUUCAUCCCGCAGCCCACGGAUGCCAUGGUCCACAUGCUGCUGCCGCUCCUGCACACCUCGGGGGCCAGCCCCACCGCCUUCCUUGGUAUCUCGGCCCUGGUGCACAACCUCUGUGCCUCCCUGGACGGGCCCUGUGGACAGCUGCCUGGUGUCGGCUCCCUCGUGAGGACCCUGGGACAGGCCUUGGGUGCCAACUGCACCUUCCAGGAGCCCUCGGACGCUGACCAGCUCCGGCUUGUGCUGAAGGCGAUUGGCAACGCGGGCCUGGCGGCCACAGCUCUCAGCCCCACACUGAGCACCUGCGCGUCUCAGAGGGGCUGCCCCCCUGAGGUCCGCCUGGGGGCCAUCCAGGCCUUCCGGAGGAUCCCCUGCUCUGCAAACGUGAGCUCCUGCAUGUCAUUCGCUGGGGUUACGAUUGGGUGGCCGUGGCUCUCGAACCACCGUUUGCUAAUUCACUUCUUUGUUCAUUCAUUCAUCAUAGGUAUACUGAGCUCCUACUAUGCACUGGGCCCUCGUGUGAAUAGGUGUCAGGUCUCUGAUGUCGCGGAGCCUGUCUCUGGUGGGAGGCAUUACUUAGCGACCAAACGCACAAACAAGCCUAUGGUUGCAAACCGUAUAGAAGCCGUCCUGUGCUGCAAACGCUCUAGUUCCGGGGUUUGCAGGCUUUGGACCACAGGCCACAUCCUCGCUGGCUGUUUUGUACACAGCACUUUGCUAGAAUGCAGCUGCUCCCGCUCAUUUAUGUGUUGCCUGGGGCUGCUGUCUUGCUACAACUGCAGAACUGAGCAGUGGCAGGAGAGUGCAUGGCUCACAAAGCCAGAAAAAUUUACCAUGUGUCCCUUUGCCAAAAAAGGUUGCUGA